GGCGGGCCUCCCCGCAUUGCAGCCCGGUCAAUCUGGUCAGGUCCGGAAGGAAGCAGCCACAGCUGGUUUCUGCAAGUGCCGGGGGCAAGGCUCGCCACC
This 99-nucleotide signal recognition particle RNA is filed under the name Betaproteobacteria bacterium. RNAcentral's name for it is "signal recognition particle sRNA small type". It matches the Rfam family "Bacterial small signal recognition particle RNA". Rfam says of the family: The signal recognition particle (SRP) is a universally conserved ribonucleoprotein involved in the co-translational targeting of proteins to membranes. Archaeal SRP consists of a 7S RNA and homologues of the eukaryotic SRP19 and SRP54 proteins. The record is from RNAcentral. Lineage: Bacteria; Pseudomonadati; Pseudomonadota; Betaproteobacteria. RNAcentral also lists the same sequence under 1 other name.